GAACGCGAAGAACCUUACCAAGUCUUGACAUCCUUUGACCACUCUAGAGAUAGAGCUUUCCCUUCGGGGACAAAGUGACAGGUGGUGCUUGGUUGUCGUCAGCUCGUGUCGUGAGAUGUUGGGUUAAGUCCCGCAACGAGCGCAACCCUUAUUACUAGUUGCCAGCAUUAAGUUGGGCACUCUAGUGAGACUGCCGGUGACAAACCGGAGGAAGGUGGGGAUGACGUCAAAUCAUCAUGCCCCUUAUGACUUGGGCUACACACGUGCUACAAUGGAUGGUACAACGAGCAGCGAACUCGCGAGGGUAAGCGAAUCUCUUAAAGCCAUUCUCAGUUCGGAUUGUAGGCUGCAACUCGCCUACAUGAAGCCGGAAUCGCUAGUAAUCGCGGAUCAGCACGCCGCGGUGAAUACGUUCCCGGGUCUUGUACACACC
This 433-nucleotide ribosomal RNA is filed under the name uncultured bacterium. RNAcentral's name for it is "bacterial SSU rRNA". It matches the Rfam family "Bacterial small subunit ribosomal RNA", at positions 957 to 1391 of the family's 1533-position model. The record is from RNAcentral.